AGAAGCAACUCUGCCAGCCUGUUCUCCCUUUAUCAGGAGAGCAGAGAGAGCUGACUUUGAAGGCUGGGUGUCAGUUUAGACAUAAGGACUUAGGCCUGAAGCUUAGGACAGUCCCUUUACACAGCAAUGCUAUCAGGACAUGUUCCCUAAGGCCAGCCCUGUGUGACCCCCGGCUGAUUGGGAGAGCCUGUGUGUUGGUUAUCUCACAGUUAAGGAGAAUUUUCAGGGUUCUGAAGGAAAAUGUCUUCUGUUCUAGGUCCUCAGAAUGGUUGGAAUGAUCCUCCCGCUUUGAACAGAGUACCGAAGAAGAAGAAGCUGCCUGAGAACUUCAUGCCUCCUGUCCCCAUUACGUCACCAAUCAUGAACCCCGGGGGAGAUCCCCAGCCACAGGGGCUGCAGCAACAGCCUUCAGCUUCAGGGCCACGGUCAAGCCACGCCUCCUUCCCGCAGCCGCACCUAGCCGGCGGCCAGCCCUUCCACGGGAUCCAGCAGCCUCUUGCUCAAACAGGCAUGCCACCGUCUUUCUCGAAGCCCAACACUGAAGGGGCCCCCGGCGCUCCCAUUGGGAACACCAUCCAGCAUGUGCAGGCUCUGCCAACAGAAAAAAUUACCAAGAAGCCUAUUCCAGACGAGCACCUCAUUCUAAAGACUACGUUUGAGGACCUUAUCCAGCGCUGCCUCUCCUCAGCUACAGACCCCCAAACCAAGAGGAAGCUGGACGACGCCAGCA
RNAcentral lists this long non-coding RNA (730 nucleotides) under Rattus norvegicus (Norway rat). RNAcentral's name for it is "long non-coding RNA NONRATT009224". The record is from RNAcentral. Lineage: Eukaryota; Metazoa; Chordata; Mammalia; Rodentia; Muridae.